AUGGUGCCACACUCACAAUCCCUCAUCCUCCUCGUGCUCUGGGUCUCAGGUGUCUGUGGAGACAUUGUGAUGACCCAGACUCCAGGCUCUCUGGCUGCGUCUGUAGGAGACACGGUCACCAUCAACUGCAAGUCCAGCCAGAGUCUUUUAUACAGCUCCAACCAGAAGAACUACUUAUCCUGGCACCAGCAGAAACCAGGACAGGCUCCUAAGCUCCUCAUCUACUUUGCAUCCACCAGGGGUACAGGGGUCCCUGACCGAUUCACUGGCAGUGGAUCUGGGACAGAUUUCACUCUCACCAUCAGCAGGUUCCAGGCUGAAGAUGCAGCAGUUUAUUACUGUCAGCAGUAUAUAAGUACUCCUCCCACAGUGCUUCAGCCUCGAACAAAAACCUCCUCCCCAGAACCGUGAGUCAGAAAGUCUUUGCUGCACCAGCUGCUUCUCUC
Molecule: non-coding RNA, 446 nt
Organism: Ceratotherium simum simum (southern white rhinoceros)
Lineage: Eukaryota; Metazoa; Chordata; Mammalia; Perissodactyla; Rhinocerotidae
Source: the annotation of a RefSeq genome assembly